UACAGAGGUCUCAAGCGUUGUUCGGAUUCAUUGGGCGUAAAGGGUGCGUAGGCGGCGCGGUAAGUCGGGUGUGAAAUCUCGGGGCUUAACUCCGAAACUGCAUUCGAUACUGGCGUGCUUGAGGACUGGAGAGGAGACUGGAAUUCAUGGUGUAGCAGUGAAAUGCGUAGAGAUCAUGAGGAAGACCAGUGGCGAAGGCGGGUCUCUGGACAGUUACUGACACUGAGACACGAAGGCCAGGGGAGCAAACGGG
Molecule: ribosomal RNA, 253 nt
Filed under: uncultured bacterium
Lineage: Bacteria
Description: partial 16S ribosomal RNA
Rfam family: Bacterial small subunit ribosomal RNA
Source: RNAcentral